This 70-nucleotide transfer RNA is filed under the name Episymploce wulingensis. RNAcentral describes it as "tRNA-Val". The record is from RNAcentral. Lineage: Eukaryota; Metazoa; Arthropoda; Insecta; Blattodea; Blattellidae.
CAGAUUAAUCUUAUUAGUUAAGAAUUUCAUUUACACUGAAAUUUGGGUUGUGCAAGUCAAUAUAAUCUGA